Molecule: long non-coding RNA, 418 nt
Filed under: Sorghum bicolor (sorghum)
Lineage: Eukaryota; Viridiplantae; Streptophyta; Magnoliopsida; Poales; Poaceae
Description: long non-coding RNA (SBIC_LNC007897)
Source: RNAcentral
UGCAUUUCUGAACAGUCUAGUGGUUCAACGUUAGUUCCUCUAUAGAUAGAGGGCCAACUUUCCACUAACCCAGCUAGAAAAAGAAACGUGACGACUUGAAAAGGCAAGGCACCAUUAGUGGAAAGUGAGGUAAGAAGAAGCCCAAGGCUAAAAGAAAACAACAAGGGAUUCAAGCCAUGCUUAGACAAGCGUUGUCUGGCUUGCAACACUAAUCCACCCGACCUUUCUUUACGACUUAUCAAAAAAUUGGGGGUCAAUAUCGGCAAGGUGGAUGAAAACCUGCUCUCAGAAGGAAACCUAAACAAAAAAAAACAGAAGAAAUUUCAGAAAACUGAGAUUGAUGGUACUCUGUAUGCUCACAACACCACCUCUGCAAAGAGGAAAGAGUAGUUAGAGAAAAAGAAAAAGGAAAGCAACC